This 1005-nucleotide ribosomal RNA is filed under the name Schistosoma japonicum. Its description in RNAcentral is "16S ribosomal RNA". The stretch from base 754 to 1005 matches the Rfam family "Archaeal large subunit ribosomal RNA", at positions 2156 to 2680 of the family's 2987-position model. The record is from RNAcentral. Lineage: Eukaryota; Metazoa; Platyhelminthes; Trematoda; Strigeidida; Schistosomatidae.
GUAGUAGUUAUAUAAGGAUACAUAGUUUAAGGUAAAAUGAUGCUUUUGUAAAGCAUUGAUAGAUGAAGUAUUUUCUUGUUUUCAUUUAAGAUUAGAGUCUGCUGUAAAUAGUUUUGUCUUUGGUUAAAGUACCUUUUGCAUCAUGAUUCUUUGAGAUGUUUAGAUUAUUUCUAGUUCCCGAAUGGCUUAUGAUUUUCAUUGAUUCAUAGCAAGUUUGUGCAUAGAUAAGUUGUUGUGUAAACAUUUGUAGAAAUCAUUGAGGUUGUGAUAAAUAAUUCGUAUAGUCUGAUAACUGGUUUAUAGCUUGAUUAUUUCAACGAAAUAAAGAUUGAUUGUGUUUAUCUUUACUGAUAGAGAUAGUUUAUAUGUUGUUGUUGAGUCUUGGAUUAGAAUUGUCCUAGGAUAAGUUAGUUAUUUACUUGACAUUUUAUUUGUAUGUUUUCUUAUUGUUGAUGGCUAUAUUCUUAAUUAUUUGUUUAAUAAUGAAGAAAUGAGUAGGAUUAUGUUUUAUUAGUCCGUUAUUUGUCUUUAAUUCUGUUCAACUGUUUAUCAAAAACAUUGCUAUUUGUUGGAUUUAAAUAGUAUGGCCUGCCCAAUGUUGUAAAUUAAUGGUCGCAGUUUUACUGUGCUAAGGUAGCAUAAUAUAUCGCUUCUUAAUUAGUGGCUUGUGAAUGGUUUAAUGAAAUAGAAUAUUUAAAUGAUGACUAUAUCUGAAAUUGAUUUAGUGGUGCGGAGUCCAUUGUUAUAAUAUAAGACGGAAAGACCCCGAGAUCUUGAAUUAAUUUUCUAAUUUUGUUUGGGGUAAAUGUAUAUAUUUCAUUUAUUUUUAGAUCCUACAUAUUGAUGGAUAUAGGUUAAAGUUACCUCGGGGAUAACUGAGUAAAGAGUUGUGAGAGGUCUUAUUGAUCAACUUGUUACUACCUCGAUGUUGGCUUAAAGAACCUUUAUGGUGUAGCAGCUAUAUAAGGUGGUCUGUUCGACCAUUAAAUCUUUAUGAGUUGAGUU